UGUGAAACUAUAGAAACACAG
This 21-nucleotide non-coding RNA is filed under the name Caenorhabditis elegans. The record is from RNAcentral. Lineage: Eukaryota; Metazoa; Nematoda; Chromadorea; Rhabditida; Rhabditidae.